UAUAUAGAGAGAGAGAGAGAGAGAGAGUAGAGCUAGAAUACUUGUAAAAGUAUCAUCCAAGUGAUACUUGUGUGUUUUUAGCCCUUGGAUGGAGAGAUGUGAGAUUGAGAUGAUGGUGGUAGGUGGUGGUAGGUGGUGGUAGGUGUAAUAGUGUUUGAUCCAAGGACUAUUAGUAAUCAAAAAGUAGAUCCAAUGGCUAAAAACACACAAGUAUCACUUGGGUGAUACUUGUAAAAGUAUUCUAGCCCUACUCUAUAUAUAUAUAUAUAUAUAUAUAUAUAUAU
Molecule: long non-coding RNA, 284 nt
Filed under: Ananas comosus (pineapple)
Lineage: Eukaryota; Viridiplantae; Streptophyta; Magnoliopsida; Poales; Bromeliaceae
Description: long non-coding RNA (ACOM_LNC022410)
Source: RNAcentral